RNAcentral lists this ribosomal RNA (253 nucleotides) under uncultured bacterium. Its description in RNAcentral is "partial 16S ribosomal RNA". It matches the Rfam family "Bacterial small subunit ribosomal RNA", at positions 524 to 776 of the family's 1533-position model. The record is from RNAcentral.
UACGAGGGGUGCAAGCGUUGCUCGGAAUUAUUGGGCGUAAAGGGUAGGUAGGUGGUCUUAUUUGUCUGGGGUGAAAGCCUUGAGCUCAACUCAAGAAGUGCCCCGGAAACGGUAAGACUCGAGUCCUGGAGAGGGUCGUGGAAUUCCCGGUGUAGCGGUGAAAUGCGUAGAGAUCGGGAGGAACACCAGCGGCGAAGGCGGCGACCUGGACAGGCACUGACACUCAACUACGAAAGCGUGGGGAGCAAACAGG